This 468-nucleotide ribosomal RNA is filed under the name uncultured bacterium. Its description in RNAcentral is "partial 16S ribosomal RNA". It matches the Rfam family "Bacterial small subunit ribosomal RNA", at positions 28 to 507 of the family's 1533-position model. The record is from RNAcentral.
GACGAACGCUGGCGGCGUGCUUAACACAUGCAAGUCGAACGGAAAGGCCCUGCUUUUGCGGGGUGCUCGAGUGGCGAACGGGUGAGUAACAUGGGAGUAUCCUGCCCAUGACUUUGUGAUAACUCCAGGACAUAGCGGCUAAUACCGGAUAGCAGCUCCGGCUGCAUGGGGGGGGUUGGAAAGUUUCGGCGGUUGGGGAUGGAUGCCCGGCUUAUCAGCUUGUUGGUGGGGUAGUGGCCUACCAAGGCUUUGACGGGUAGCCGGCCUGGGAGGGUGACCGGCGACAUGGCGCCUGAGAGAGGGAGCAGAGGCGUACGGGGGGCAGCAGUGGGGACUCUUGCCCAAUCGGCGGGAGUGUGAGAUGACGGCGCCGCGGUCGGAAAGACGGCCUUGGGGUUGAGAAACGCUGUCGCCUGAGACGAAGCGGAAGUGACGGUAAUGGGUAAAGAAGCACCGGCUAACUACGUG